UUGACCUCGGAUCAGGUAGGGAUACCCGCUGAACUUAAGCAUAUCAAUAAGCGGAGGAAAAGAAACCAACCGGGAUUGCCUCAGUAACGGCGAGUGAAGCGGCAAGAGCUCAAAUUUGAAAGCUGGCCCCUCCGGGGUCCGCAUUGUAAUU
This 151-nucleotide ribosomal RNA is filed under the name Aspergillus micronesiensis. RNAcentral's name for it is "partial 28S ribosomal RNA". It matches the Rfam family "Eukaryotic large subunit ribosomal RNA", at positions 1 to 150 of the family's 3401-position model. Lineage: Eukaryota; Fungi; Ascomycota; Eurotiomycetes; Eurotiales; Aspergillaceae. The record is from RNAcentral.